This 867-nucleotide non-coding RNA is filed under the name Heliornis fulica (sungrebe). Its description in RNAcentral is "partial 12S ribosomal RNA". It matches the Rfam family "Bacterial small subunit ribosomal RNA". The record is from RNAcentral. Lineage: Eukaryota; Metazoa; Chordata; Aves; Gruiformes; Heliornithidae.
AACAGACUUAGUCCUAACCUUACYGUUAGUUUCUACCAAACAUAUACAUGCAAGUAUUCGCACACCAGUGUAAAUGCCCACGACUUCUAAAUUAGAUUGGAGGAGCAGGCAUCAGGCGCGCAAAUUAAUUGCAGCCCAAGACGCCUUGCUUAGCCACACCCCCACGGGUAUUCAGCAGUAAUUGACAUUAAGCAAUAAGUGAAAGCUUGACUUAGUUAUGGUAGAACUCAACUCAGGGCUGGUUAAUCUUGUGCCAGCUACCGCGGUCAUACAAGAAGCCCAAAUUAACGGUAGUGCGGCGUAAAGAGUGGCGCAAUAAUAUCACGCAACUAAGACAGAGAUGCAACUGAGCUGUCAUAAGCCUAUGAUGCAUAUAAGUCCAACAUCAAGACGAUCUUAGCAAAAAAGAUUAACUACAGCCACUAAAGCUAAGGCCAAACUGGGAUUAGAUACCCCACUAUGCUUAGCCCUAAAUCAUGGUACUCACAGUACUAGAGUACCCGCCCGAGAACUACGAGCACAAACGCUUAAAACUCUAAGGACUUGGCGGUGCCCUAAACCCACCUAGAGGAGCCUGUCCUAUAAUCGAUAACCCACGAUACACCCAACCACUUCUAGCCUAAGCAGCCUACAUACCGCCGUCCCCAGCCCACCUUACAUGAGAGAUAUAAUAGUGAGCUCAACAGCCACCCGCUAGUAAGACAGGUCAAGGUAUAGCCCAUGAAGUGGGAGAGAUGGGCUACAUUUUCUAAAAUAGAAUAUAACGGAAAGGGAAAUGAAAAUACCUUCCCUGGAAGGCGGAUUUAGCAGUAAACUGGAACAAUAAAGUCCAAUUCAACCAGGCCCUAGGGCACGUACAUACCGCCC